RNAcentral lists this ribosomal RNA (2773 nucleotides) under Salmonella enterica. RNAcentral's name for it is "bacterial LSU rRNA". It matches the Rfam family "Bacterial large subunit ribosomal RNA". The record is from RNAcentral. Lineage: Bacteria; Pseudomonadati; Pseudomonadota; Gammaproteobacteria; Enterobacterales; Enterobacteriaceae.
AGCGUACACGGUGGAUGCCCUGGCAGUCAGAGGCGAUGAAGGGCGUGCUAAUCUGCGAUAAGCGCCGGUAAGGUGAUAUGAACCGUUAUAACCGGCGAUACCCGAAUGGGGAAACCCAGUGUGACUCGUCACACUAUCAUUAACUGAAUCCAUAGGUUAAUGAGGCGAACCGGGGGAACUGAAACAUCUAAGUACCCCGAGGAAAAGAAAUCAACCGAGAUUCCCCCAGUAGCGGCGAGCGAACGGGGAGGAGCCCAGAGCCUGAAUCAGCAUGUGUGUUAGUGGAAGCGUCUGGAAAGGCGCGCGAUACAGGGUGACAGCCCCGUACACAAAAGCGCAUGUGCUGUGAGCUCGAUGAGUAGGGCGGGACACGUGGUAUCCUGUCUGAAUAUGGGGGGACCAUCCUCCAAGGCUAAAUACUCCUGACUGACCGAUAGUGAACCAGUACCGUGAGGGAAAGGCGAAAAGAACCCCGGCGAGGGGAGUGAAAAAGAACCUGAAACCGUGUACGUACAAGCAGUGGGAGCACCCUUUGGGUGUGACUGCGUACCUUUUGUAUAAUGGGUCAGCGACUUAUAUUCUGUAGCAAGGUUAACCGAAUAGGGGAGCCGGAGGGAAACCGAGUCUUAAUUGGGCGUUAAGUUGCAGGGUAUAGACCCGAAACCCGGUGAUCUAGCCAUGGGCAGGUUGAAGGUUGGGUAACACUAACUGGAGGACCGAACCGACUAAUGUUGAAAAAUUAGCGGAUGACCUGUGGCUGGGGGUGAAAGGCCAAUCAAACCGGGAGAUAGCUGGUUCUCCCCGAAAGCUAUUUAGGUAGCGCCUCGUGAAUUCAUCUCCGGGGGUAGAGCACUGUUUCGGCUAGGGGGCCAUCCCGGCUUACCAACCCGAUGCAAACUGCGAAUACCGGAGAAUGUUAUCACGGGAGACACACGGCGGGUGCUAACGUCCGUCGUGAAGAGGGAAACAACCCAGACCGCCAGCUAAGGUCCCAAAGUCAUGGUUAAGUGGGAAACGAUGUGGGAAGGCCCAGACAGCCAGGAUGUUGGCUUAGAAGCAGCCAUCAUUUAAAGAAAGCGUAAUAGCUCACUGGUCGAGUCGGCCUGCGCGGAAGAUGUAACGGGGCUAAACCAUGCACCGAAGCUGCGGCAGCGACACUGUGUGUUGUUGGGUAGGGGAGCGUUCUGUAAGCCUGCGAAGGUGUGUCGUGAGGCAUGCUGGAGGUAUCAGAAGUGCGAAUGCUGACAUAAGUAACGAUAAAGCGGGUGAAAAGCCCGCUCGCCGGAAGACCAAGGGUUCCUGUCCAACGUUAAUCGGGGCAGGGUGAGUCGACCCCUAAGGCGAGGCCGAAAGGCGUAGUCGAUGGGAAACGGGUUAAUAUUCCCGUACUUGGUGUUACUGCGAAGGGGGGACGGAGAAGGCUAUGUUGGCCGGGCGACGGUUGUCCCGGUUUAAGCGUGUAGGUGUGUGUUCCAGGUAAAUCCGGUUCACUUUAACACUGAGGCGUGACGACGAGGCACUACGGUGCUGAAGCAACAAAUGCCCUGCUUCCAGGAAAAGCCUCUAAGCAUCAGGUAACAUCAAAUCGUACCCCAAACCGACACAGGUGGUCAGGUAGAGAAUACCAAGGCGCUUGAGAGAACUCGGGUGAAGGAACUAGGCAAAAUGGUGCCGUAACUUCGGGAGAAGGCACGCUGACACGUAGGUGAAGUGAUUUACUCAUGGAGCUGAAGUCAGUCGAAGAUACCAGCUGGCUGCAACUGUUUAUUAAAAACACAGCACUGUGCAAACACGAAAGUGGACGUAUACGGUGUGACGCCUGCCCGGUGCCGGAAGGUUAAUUGAUGGGGUCAGCGCAAGCGAAGCUCCUGAUCGAAGCCCCGGUAAACGGCGGCCGUAACUAUAACGGUCCUAAGGUAGCGAAAUUCCUUGUCGGGUAAGUUCCGACCUGCACGAAUGGCGUAAUGAUGGCCAGGCUGUCUCCACCCGAGACUCAGUGAAAUUGAACUCGCUGUGAAGAUGCAGUGUACCCGCGGCAAGACGGAAAGACCCCGUGAACCUUUACUAUAGCUUGACACUGAACAUUGAGCCUUGAUGUGUAGGAUAGGUGGGAGGCUUUGAAGUGUGGACGCCAGUCUGCAUGGAGCCGACCUUGAAAUACCACCCUUUAAUGUUUGAUGUUCUAACGUGGACCCGUUACCCGGGUUGCGGACAGUGUCUGGUGGGUAGUUUGACUGGGGCGGUCUCCUCCUAAAGAGUAACGGAGGAGCACGAAGGUUGGCUAAUCCUGGUCGGACAUCAGGAGGUUAGUGCAAUGGCAUAAGCCAGCUUGACUGCGAGCGUGACGGCGCGAGCAGGUGCGAAAGCAGGUCAUAGUGAUCCGGUGGUUCUGAAUGGAAGGGCCAUCGCUCAACGGAUAAAAGGUACUCCGGGGAUAACAGGCUGAUACCGCCCAAGAGUUCAUAUCGACGGCGGUGUUUGGCACCUCGAUGUCGGCUCAUCACAUCCUGGGGCUGAAGUAGGUCCCAAGGGUAUGGCUGUUCGCCAUUUAAAGUGGUACGCGAGCUGGGUUUAGAACGUCGUGAGACAGUUCGGUCCCUAUCUGCCGUGGGCGCUGGAGAACUGAGGGGGGCUGCUCCUAGUACGAGAGGACCGGAGUGGACGCAUCACUGGUGUUCGGGUUGUCAUGCCAAUGGCACUGCCCGGUAGCUAAAUGCGGAAGAGAUAAGUGCUGAAAGCAUCUAAGCACGAAACUUGCCCCGAGAUGAGUUCU